RNAcentral lists this unclassified non-coding RNA (817 nucleotides) under Daphnia magna. RNAcentral describes it as "serine/threonine-protein kinase 35-like, transcript variant X1". Lineage: Eukaryota; Metazoa; Arthropoda; Branchiopoda; Diplostraca; Daphniidae. The record is from RNAcentral.
UGGUCGCGUCACUUUGUUUAAAUCUAUCAAAUGGAACUAAAGUAAUUACCACUGCUUCGUAACCAGACGAGCUUGUUUAGGGGAUAGGGUAGUCUAAAGCAAAACAGGACCACGGCUGAUGGCGACAGGACUGCCCCACAGUCCUGCAUGUUGGGCAUGUAGUCAGUUGGGACCUCCUCUUCAACAUUAACAGCUGUUAUCCCCUUUGUGAAGUAGGGAGAUGAGAGUAUCUACCAGUUCUGAAAAGAUGGCAGAUGCUGAACAACCGUAACCAGCCGAGGCUUUUAUCUUUAAGGGGAAAAGAUUGGAUUGCAAAAAAAAGAUUUUCGGUGAAGGUUUUUUCUUGUUUGAAGGAUAUUGGAAGGAAAAUGAAAAUGCAGGUGCUGAAAAGGAACGCGUGAAAUCGAAGACUUCUAAUCUAAAAAAAGAAGCUGCGAUAAGAAGAAUUAAAAAUGAAGACUGCCUUGAUGGGUGGAAAAAUGUGGCCGAUUAGCUCGUCAAGGGCAACCUGAAUCACAAUAAUAUCCUACGAUUUUUCGGUUAUGAGGAGGACAUGGCCAAUGGAUGGAGGUAUUUUGCUCUGGAACCGUACAGUGCCACUUUAUACGAAUAUUGCAAUGGCGAGUACAAUGGACCGAUGCCAAACGAAUCGCAAGUUCUUUAUCAAAUUACCAACGGCGUCAGCUACCUGCAUCUUAACGCAAUUGUACAUGGCGAUUUAAAUCCAUUAAACGUCGUCAUUGUUGCCCAGUCGCGUCCUGUGCGCAUGAAAAUUUCAGAUUUUGGAUUGAGCAAAUUCAGUUAUAGCAAACAGCUG